GACAAAAAUACAGAGUAAGUCAUUUUUUUUGCAGUGUGACUCCAUUGAAUGUUCUUGUGUGAUAAAGAAAGUCUCUCUUUUUUUGUGUGGUGUGUGUGUGUGAUGACCGGGCCAAAACUGAUAUGGCAGCAGGUCAAAAUCAAAUACAAGAACUUUCUGCAGGCGGCAGUGAAAAAGAAUACCCAGAGACAAGGCAUGGGUGGUGGGUCACCAAAAGCUGACCUCACCCCAGCAGAAGCCAGCUUUGGAGCUAAUAAAGGCGGGCCUGUUGGAGGGGAUCCCUGGGGGAAAAGAGACAAGCAUAGGUCCCUCACAAGAUGCCACCCGCUUCAUACAAGUGUCUGGCAGCACUGUGUUACUGUUAAAGCCACCAGCACAAGCACCAGACGAUGCUGAUCCAGUGAGUACUCCAUCAAAGGCAUACUGUAGGCCUGGCAUGUCUUGUCUACUAGCUUCAAUAUGAAUCCAAUUAAAUGUGAUUGGGUCAAGGCCCCAUUUCAUCAGCACAUUUCAUCGGCGAUGAUUAUGAGGAGACCAUCUCUCUGGAUUCCAGAAGGCAUAAGGACCCAGUGUCAUUGGUGCACUGGACUGCACACACAUAAGGAUAAAAGCCCCCUCAGGUGCCCAUGAGGCAGAUUUUGUAAAUAUGAAAUCUUUUCACAGCAUUAAUGUUCAGGUGAACAUAACUUUUUGAUCUUUUCCAUUGAACACUGGCAAAAUGGCCUGGCUCAGUCCAUGACUCCAGAAUCUUUCAGACCUCUGAAGUCUAUCAGUGCCUAUCACAAGGUGAGCCACACAACCCCUAUUAAUAACCACUUUUUACAUAAUGGAUGUGUCAAGAAUAUCACUGUGUUUAUGACGUAGUAAUGAGAUUUUGUGUUGACAGGUGAAUUCUCUGGUGUGUUCCUGGGAGACAGGGGGUAUGACUGCCAGCCUUUUUUCCUGACACCUUUCACAAACCCCCAGGAAGCACAGCAGGCCUACAACUAUGCCCAUGCCAGGUGUCAUUGGUGCACUGGACUGCACACACAUAAGGAUAAAAGCCCCCUCAGGUGCCCAUGAGGCAGAUUUUGUAAAUAUGAAAUCUUUUCACAGCAUUAAUGUUCAGGUGAACAUAACUUUUUGAUCUUUUCCAUUGAACACUGGCAAAAUGGCCUGGCUCAGUCCAUGACUCCAGAAUCUUUCAGACCUCUGAAGUCUAUCAGUGCCUAUCACAAGGUGAAUUCUCUGGUGUGUUCCUGGGAGACAGGGGGUAUGGCUGCCAGCCUUUUUUCCUGACACCUUUCACAGACCCCCAGGAAGCACAGCAGGCCUACAACUAUGCCCAUGCCAGGACCAGGGCCAGAGUUGAAAUGACCUUUGGCCUCCUGAAGGCACGCUCUCACUGCCUUCACAAAUUAAGGGUCAGCCCUUUGAGGGCAUGUGACAUUACAGUGGCUUGUGGUGUCCUCCACAAUGUGGCCUGCCUGAGGAAGGAGAGGGCCCCCAGAGUGCCGCCAGCCAUGGACUGGGACAAUCCGGAAAUCUCCCCUGAUGACGACAGUGGUCGGCUGCUGAGGGACCAAUAUGUGAUGAAUUAUUUUAGUUAGUAUGUGUGCUUUCAAUUUUGUUUUUUUAUUGAUUUGGCCUCUUUUGACGUUUGUGCUGUAUACUGUGUGUAUACUGUUUGUAAUACAAGCUUGUAGGGAGGCUACUGCGUCCAUUAAUUGUCUUAUUUUCAGUUGUCUGAAAUUGUCUGUUCAGUUAAUGUGUAUUGAUUUGUCCUGCAUUUAUUUCAGUGUGCAGACAUGCAGGGUGUGUUAUAUACAGACCUUUGAAUGUGUAUUUAUCCUUUGGUUGUAUAAUAUGCUUUGAUUCUGUGCUUUCCAUCUUGUAGAGUCACUGUGUGACUUCAGUUUCGAAAGAAGCUGAUGGUUUACCUGCUUUG
Non-coding RNA from Misgurnus anguillicaudatus (oriental weatherfish), 1927 nucleotides. NCBI's taxonomy places the organism in Eukaryota, Metazoa, Chordata, Actinopteri, Cypriniformes, Cobitidae. The record is from RefSeq and is a predicted model, not a curated record.